RNAcentral lists this ribosomal RNA (490 nucleotides) under uncultured bacterium. Its description in RNAcentral is "partial 16S ribosomal RNA". It matches the Rfam family "Bacterial small subunit ribosomal RNA", at positions 28 to 507 of the family's 1533-position model. The record is from RNAcentral.
GAUGAACGCUAGCUACAGGCUUAACACAUGCGAGUCGCGGGGCAGCAUGGGGGUUGCUUGCACUCCCCGAUGGCGACCGGCGCACGGGUGAGUAACGCGUAUCCAACCUGCCCUUCACCACGGGAUAACCCGGCGAAAGUCGGACUAAUACCGUAUGUUGUCCAUUGACGGCAUCCGAUUUGGACGAAAGGUUUGGCGGGGAAGGAUGGGGAUGCGUCCGAUUAGCUGGACGGCGGGGUGACGGCCCACCGUGGCGACGAUCGGUAGGGGUUCUGAGAGGAAGGUCCCCCACACUGGAACUGAGACACGGUCCAGACUCCUACGGGAGGCAGCAGUGAGGAAUAUUGGUCAAUGGGCGUAAGCCUGAACCAGCCAAGUAGCGUGCAGGAGGACGGCCCUAUGGGUGGUAAACUGCUUUUAUGCGGGGAUAAAGUGGCCCACGUGUGGGUUUUUGCAGGUACCGCAUGAAUAAGGACCGGCUAAUUCCGUG